This is a long non-coding RNA of Piliocolobus tephrosceles (Ugandan red Colobus), 3323 nucleotides long. The record is from Ensembl. NCBI's taxonomy places the organism in Eukaryota, Metazoa, Chordata, Mammalia, Primates, Cercopithecidae.
UAAUAGUAGUAAUAAUAAUGAUAACAGUAAUAUGACCGUUAAAAAAAAUAUAUAUUACGACACAUCAAACAUUUGUAAUAGUAGUAAUAACACUAACAAUAACAAGAAUAAUUAUACAAAUGAAAAAGGAUACAUAAAACCUAGAAAUAGCAUUUUAAAUGAACAAUAUAACAAUAAAAAUUAUAUUGAUAAGAAAUAUUAUGGUGAUAUGAAUUUAGUAAAAGAUAGAACAAAAUUUCGUAGAUUAAGUAAUUUUAAAAAAGAAAAUAAUUUAAACACAAAUCGUACAUAUAGUGGUAAUAAUAAUGGUAAUAUGAAAAAUAACACGAACAACAUUAAUAAUGAAAAUGUGAUAGACAAUACUGAUAAUAGUAAUGAGAAGUAUGCAAUGAAUAAACAUUUUGUUGGCGAGUAUAAAAAUGUACAACCUAACGGGAAUGUUGUGACUAGUAAUGGUGCUAACAAUAAUAAUAACAAUAAUAACAAUAAUAAUAAUAAUAAUAAUAGAGUAGGAAAUAUUAAUAACGAACAUUAUUCACAUUACGAACCAUAUGAAGAAUUUGAACACAACGUGCCUGCUUAUGCAAAAGGUGGUGAUAAUAAUAUCAAUUAUAAUUAUGCUAAAUUAAACAGACAAAAGAAUCCAUAUGGAGUUGUCGGUGGUGGUGCUGGUGGUGGUGCUGGUGGUGGUGCUGGUAGUGGUGCUGGUAGUGGUGGUGUUGGUGUUGGUAGUGGUGUUGGUGGUGGUGCUGGUGGUGGUGGUGGUAGUGGUGGUGGUGGUGGUGCUGGUGGUGGUAUGAACGUUGAUACGCUUAGAGAAAGAGAAAAUAAGUUAGAAGAGGUGGUUGAAAAUAGUACAGAUGAAAUAAGAGUAUUAGAAGAAGAAAAGUCAGUAAUAUUGAACCCUAACAGUGGUUAUAUACAAAGAGAAAGUGCAUAUCAUAGAAAUAUUAAUGAAUUAAAUAUGAAUAGUGCAAUAAAUACAAACGAAAUGGUACAAACAAAAGACAUGUUAAACAAAGAUAACUACAUAAAAAACAAAAAAAUAAACCAUAUGCAACAAGGAUUAAAUAACAUGAGUAAUAUGUAUAACAGAAACAAAGAUUUGUUAAUACCAAAAGGUAUGACACAUAUGAAAAAUAUGAAUUACAAUAUGACAAAAGAGAACAAUGAAAAUACAGGCAUAUUACAAAAAAAUGUACAAAAUAAUAAUAAUAAUAAUAAUAAUAAUAAUAAUGGAAUUAUUGAAGGAAACAACAACAAUAAUCGUGUGUGUGGUAAAGGUAUGGAAAAUGUGAAUAACUCGAGGUGGAGUAAUAAAUAUAAUGAAGAGAGUGAUACCCUGGAGGAUAUCCGAUACAAUGAUAAUACUACCAAUAAUAAUAACAUUAAUAAUACUUACAACAGUGGUAAUAAUAAAAAUAUGCCUCCGUUAACAAAUUUUAAUUAUAAUGCAAAAAAUGAUAUAUAUAGUAAUACUAAUAUUACAGGUAAAAUGGAUAUUAAUGCUGGUAUUAAUAAGAAAACCAUAAAUACAGAUAUAACGAAUAAAAAAGAAUACUAUAAUUUUUCUUCAACAACUAUAGAUUCUAAUUAUAGUAAUAAAAAUAGUUUUGAACAAAAUAAAAUGUAUAAAGAUCCUAAUUUAAUGGAUGUACAUGAAAAUAAUGAACAGCAUAUGGUAGACGAAGAAGAAAACAAAAAUAAAUUAAAAGGUGUUAGUGAAAACAUAGAACAAGGAACAGGUUACAUGCCAUUACAUAAUAACAUAGACAUCAUAGACAUAAACAGGAAAACUGUUAAUAAUAACAAUGACAUGAAUAAUGCUUCUUUAGAUUAUGUUAAAUAUGCAAAGUACGAAAAUGAAAAUGUAAAAAAGUUUAAUAACAUAAACAUGAACAUGAACAUGAACAUGAACAUGGACAGUGACAACGAAAAUAACAACAAAGUUGAUUAUGAUAAUGUUAUACUAAAGGGCACUAUGACUAAUACCACUAUUGGUACUGUUGCUACAGAAACGACUGCUACGAAUGCUACGAAUGCUACGAAUGCUACAGCUGCUAUUAGUGGUGGUGUUGGUGGUGGUAGUAUUAUCAACAAUAAUAAAAUGUUACAUAAAAAUAUAAAAAACACGAAUCAUUAUAACACGCAGAUGAUGUAUGAUGAAAAUAAAAAAAUGAGAAGAUAUAGAAAUAAAACAGAUAUGAUACGUGUUAAUAGAAAAGUUUCUAAAUAUGAACUUAUGAAUGAUAAAGAACGAGAUGAACAUUAUUUUAGUGACUCUUAUGAUAAUAUAAAUGACACAAAUCAUGAUACAUUACCACCAUAUAUUGAUAAAGUUGAUUAUAAUCAUAUAAGAAGGGGAAGAGAAAAAAGUUAUUAUAACAAUAGUAAUAUUAAUAAUAUGAAUUAUAAAUAUAAUAAUAAAGAAAGAAAUUUAAAAAGAUUGGGGCAUGAUAAUAUGAUGAAUUUGCAUCAAAAAGAAAGUUUUAUGAAUUCCAAUCAUCCUUAUGCCAAAAAAAAAUAUAAUUAUGAUAUUUAUAAUAAUGUUGAAAGUGCCACAGACAAAAUAUAUGGUCAUGAUAAAUAUAGAAACGAUAGUCGUAUUGAUUUAAAUAGACAGGAUAAUGUCAAAAGUUACAAGAAUAGGUAUUUAAACGAUUCCAUGGAUGGUAAAACAUACAUGCUUGUUUGCUAAACUUUGUUCCAUGUGCCAUGUGCUAUGUCGCAUAUACAUGUUGUUCUUAUAAAAACGUUCGUUAAUUAUAUUUUAUUUUUUUUUACGUUACUUUAUUUUAUUUUAUUUUGCUUUACCUUACUUGAUUUUUUUUUUUUUUUUUUUUUUUUUUUUUAACACAGAAAAGGAUGCACUUACCAUAAUCAGACUUCCAGCUGAAAACAACAAACAAGUAAAAAAAAAAAAAAAAAAAUAUAUAGUAGGCAACGGUCAUGAUAGUUCUCUAAUCGAUAUGUACAGUACAGCCAUACCAAUUAACGAACACGUAGACUCUUAUGCAUUAAAAACCUUAUCACAAAAUGGAAAUAUUAACAAGAAACUAUAUGCAUUAGUACCUAAGUCGGUAGCUAAUAUAAAAGAAUAUGAUGACAUAACACAUGUUACUUUACAGUCUCCAUCACCUUUAUUUGUUAAUCAUAACAAAAGUAUAAAACAUCACAUUAUAACAACUAAUUAUCAUCAAAAGGAUGAAGAUAUACCUAACAUAGCAUCCUGUGUGGUUCCUCUAUCCGACGAAUCGUUGAAGGGUAAGUUUAUUCAUGCGUACAUAUAGCUGUGCUUACGUACACAUAUGUCAAUAUAAAUA